Molecule: ribosomal RNA, 253 nt
Filed under: uncultured bacterium
Lineage: Bacteria
Description: partial 16S ribosomal RNA
Rfam family: Bacterial small subunit ribosomal RNA
Source: RNAcentral
UACGGGGGGGGCAAGCGUUGUUCGGAAUUACUGGGCGUAAAGGGCUCGUAGGCGGCCAACUAAGUCGGAUGUGAAAUCCCCAGGCUCAACCUGGGAACUGCAUCCGAUACUGGAUGGCUUGAAUUCGGGAGAGGGAUGCAGAAUUCCAGGUGUAGCGGUGAAAUGCGCAGAUAUCGGGAAGAACACCCGUGGCUAAGGCGGCUCUCUAGUACGGUACUGACGCUGAGACGCGAAAGCGUGGGGAGCGAACAGG